Molecule: long non-coding RNA, 421 nt
Organism: Leptopilina heterotoma
Lineage: Eukaryota; Metazoa; Arthropoda; Insecta; Hymenoptera; Figitidae
Exons: 5
Source: RefSeq, a predicted model, not a curated record
CAGAGAAGUGUAGUGAGAGAUGGAGUGUACAUUUACGAAUUGUUUUUAACUUCAUUAAGUGUAUAAAGUGUUUCUAUAUUCGAUUCUCAUCUUUUUGAAUAGCUGACAUAUCAUUACAACCGAUUAUUCCCAAAAGGGAAAAAAUAUAAACACUUCGAGGGUAGCUAAAUAAAAGGAUAGAUUCCACCACCUCAACGUGGGAACGUCGAUCUGUGUCUAAGUGUGAAGCAAGAAAUCAUUCAAAGGAAUAAGAAAGACCAUAUCAAGGAAAUUCAAAGUAAUAGGAAGGAAAUUAAGAAGGUUCCAGAGACUUCUUCAAGGUAUGUUAAUCGGGUUGUCAUACUGUAGGCGCUUUCACAAUUUCUGUAAAUUUAACUUCAGAGAAGCCAUUACUUGUAAGUAAAUUCAAUUUACCGAUUAA